GGGCGUGUGUGGUAGCUUGGAUCAUCCUAUCAGCCUUCGGAGCUGACAACCCGGGUUCGAAUCCCGGCACGCCCUCCA
RNAcentral lists this transfer RNA (78 nucleotides) under Candidatus Methanomethylophilus alvi Mx1201. RNAcentral's name for it is "tRNA-Arg (TCG) (tRNA-Arg-TCG-1-1)". It matches the Rfam family "tRNA". Rfam says of the family: Transfer RNA (tRNA) molecules are approximately 80 nucleotides in length. Their secondary structure includes four short double-helical elements and three loops (D, anti-codon, and T loops). Lineage: Archaea; Methanobacteriati; Thermoplasmatota; Thermoplasmata; Methanomassiliicoccales; Methanomethylophilaceae. RNAcentral also lists the same sequence under 2 other names. The record is from RNAcentral.